This 72-nucleotide transfer RNA is filed under the name Tetradesmus obliquus. Its description in RNAcentral is "Scenedesmus obliquus tRNA". It matches the Rfam family "tRNA". Rfam says of the family: Transfer RNA (tRNA) molecules are approximately 80 nucleotides in length. The record is from Rfam by way of RNAcentral. Lineage: Eukaryota; Viridiplantae; Chlorophyta; Chlorophyceae; Sphaeropleales; Scenedesmaceae.
GGCAAUGUUGUCUAAUGGUUAAGACCUGAGUUUGCAAAACUCAUUAUAGCAGUUCGAGUCUGCUCUUUGCCU